GGCGAGAGGAGGUAGUAAAGACAAAUAUCGAUACAGAACUCUUAUGAGGUACUGUAAUCGAAAUGAGUGCAUUAUAAAUCCUACAACAAGGAUCUAUUGGAGGGCAAGUCUGGUGCCAGCAGCCGCGGUAACUCCAGCUCCAAUAGCAUAUAUUAAAAUUGCUGCAGUUAAAAAGCUCGUAGUUGGAUCUGGGUUCUGGUUUGGAGAUUGCUUGUUCUUAGUGGAGUGUUCUGCACGAAGCUUUGAUCAGUGGUAUAUCUAGGCCGAAUCUUCCAGCUGUGUCUGCAUAGGGCUUCGGCUCUGUGUAGAUAGAUUCGUUGUGUGUAAGUACCCUACCAGGUCUUCGCCUUCGUUUCUAUACGCUGUAAUGCCUUUUAUCGGGUGUUCAGUGUGGACAGCACGUUUACUUUGAACAAAUUUGAGUGCUCAAAGCAGGCCUUGUU
This 443-nucleotide ribosomal RNA is filed under the name Gyrodactylus sp. JW-60. Its description in RNAcentral is "bacterial SSU rRNA". It matches the Rfam family "Eukaryotic small subunit ribosomal RNA", at positions 453 to 791 of the family's 1831-position model. The record is from RNAcentral. Lineage: Eukaryota; Metazoa; Platyhelminthes; Monogenea; Gyrodactylidea; Gyrodactylidae.